RNAcentral lists this ribosomal RNA (1060 nucleotides) under Klebsiella michiganensis. RNAcentral describes it as "partial 23S ribosomal RNA". It matches the Rfam family "Bacterial large subunit ribosomal RNA", at positions 1762 to 2819 of the family's 2925-position model. Lineage: Bacteria; Pseudomonadati; Pseudomonadota; Gammaproteobacteria; Enterobacterales; Enterobacteriaceae. The record is from RNAcentral.
UGGAGCUGAAAUCAGUCGAAGAUACCAGCUGGCUGCAACUGUUUAUUAAAAACACAGCACUGUGCAAACACGAAAGUGGACGUAUACGGUGUGACGCCUGCCCGGUGCCGGAAGGUUAAUUGAUGGGGUUAUCCUCGCGGAGAAGCUCUUGAUCGAAGCCCCGGUAAACGGCGGCCGUAACUAUAACGGUCCUAAGGUAGCGAAAUUCCUUGUCGGGUAAGUUCCGACCUGCACGAAUGGCGUAAUGAUGGCCAGGCUGUCUCCACCCGAGACUCAGUGAAAUUGAACUCGCUGUGAAGAUGCAGUGUACCCGCGGCAAGACGGAAAGACCCCGUGAACCUUUACUAUAGCUUGACACUGAACACUGGUCCUUGAUGUGUAGGAUAGGUGGGAGGCUUUGAAGUGUGGACGCCAGUCUGCAUGGAGCCAUCCUUGAAAUACCACCCUUUAAUGGCUGGUGUUCUAACGUGGGCCCCUAAUCGGGGUUGCGGACAGUGUCUGGUGGGUAGUUUGACUGGGGCGGUCUCCUCCUAAAGAGUAACGGAGGAGCACGAAGGUCAGCUAAUCCUGGUCGGACAUCAGGAGGUUAGUGCAAUGGCAUAAGCUGGCUUGACUGCGAGCGUGACGGCGCGAGCAGGUGCGAAAGCAGGUCAUAGUGAUCCGGUGGUUCUGAAUGGAAGGGCCAUCGCUCAACGGAUAAAAGGUACUCCGGGGAUAACAGGCUGAUACCGCCCAAGAGUUCAUAUCGACGGCGGUGUUUGGCACCUCGAUGUCGGCUCAUCACAUCCUGGGGCUGAAGUAGGUCCCAAGGGUAUGGCUGUUCGCCAUUUAAAGUGGUACGCGAGCUGGGUUUAGAACGUCGUGAGACAGUUCGGUCCCUAUCUGCCGUGGGCGCUGGAGAAUUGAGGGGGGCUGCUCCUAGUACGAGAGGACCGGAGUGGACGCAUCACUGGUGUUCGGGUUGUCAUGCCAAUGGCAUUGCCCGGUAGCUAAAUGCGGAAGAGAUAAGUGCUGAAAGCAUCUAAGCACGAAACUUGCCCCGAGAUGAGUUCUCCCUGAC